AACUUGUUAAACUAAAACAUUUC
This 23-nucleotide small nuclear RNA is filed under the name Arabidopsis thaliana (thale cress). RNAcentral describes it as "snRNA_01230". The record is from RNAcentral. Lineage: Eukaryota; Viridiplantae; Streptophyta; Magnoliopsida; Brassicales; Brassicaceae.